CGCUGCGUCACGGGAGAGAGCCGCCGAUCGGAUUGGGGUGGCCGCCGAAGGAGCAACACCUCCUCGUCAAACUCUCAGGCACCCAGGACCGUGAUGUUGAC
Molecule: non-coding RNA, 101 nt
Filed under: Gordonia rhizosphera
Lineage: Bacteria; Bacillati; Actinomycetota; Actinomycetes; Mycobacteriales; Gordoniaceae
Also listed under: 1 other name
Description: Glycine sequence
Rfam family: Glycine riboswitch aptamer
About the family: This family represents the bacterial glycine riboswitch. Glycine riboswitches usually consist of two metabolite-binding aptamers domains with similar structures in tandem. The aptamers cooperatively bind glycine to regulate the expression of downstream genes.
Source: RNAcentral